RNAcentral lists this transfer RNA (67 nucleotides) under Veillonella montpellierensis. It matches the Rfam family "tRNA". Rfam says of the family: Transfer RNA (tRNA) molecules are approximately 80 nucleotides in length. RNAcentral also lists the same sequence under 2 other names. Lineage: Bacteria; Bacillati; Bacillota; Negativicutes; Veillonellales; Veillonellaceae. The record is from RNAcentral.
CGGGUGUAGCUCAAUGGUAGAGCCCCAGCCUUCCAAGCUGGUCACGAGGGUUCGAUUCCCUUCACCC